AAAAGGAUUCUUCAGUUCUUUCAAAUGGUAGAACACCUUCUAUAAAACUUCAUCUGAAAUAAUGAAGGCUGUGAGACUCAUGUCUCUUCUGGUUUUGUUCAGCUAUGUUCAAUGUCAAACUCUUCUGAGAAGUUUCCUAGAUGCAGGUAGGAAAUCCUAUUUACAGUCUACACAUUCCGAGUGCCAGGAGUAAGAGGUAAUGACUACUGCAGUGCAUAUUUGGAAGACUUACUUUUCUCAGUGUGCAUCACUGACAACAGGGUCAUUGAAAAUUGCUGGACAUUAUCUUGUGGAAUGAAUAAAGAAAGAGAGCUAAUAUAUUGAGACAACGACAGGAAGAGCUCACUCCAGCCUUAAUUUCUGUGUAGAUAGCUGCUAAGCAUUUUAGAAGCUAUUAAUACAAGAAGGAAGAUAUUGUUUUCAGUAGAUAACAUGUAUGUGAACAUGGUGAGUACAGGAGAUGAAGAAGAUGCAGCCAUAUAGCACGCUAGUAGCCAGAAUUAUCUGGAGGAUAACUUAAGAGACAUAAAUCCACUUAUGAAGAAGUACAGACCAUAGUUAAAGAGUUGCUAGGUUUUGUGGAGAAGUGCAAGAGCCUCAAGCUACAUGAGUCACCUUCAGAAUGCUCUCCCCAGCUGAUGACUACCUUCUUAGAGCACAUUUGUAAUAACCAAGGAAUGGCUGACAAACAUGUUCCUUCUGACUGUUGCAAGACAAAUAGCACAGCAAGACCCAAGUGCUUCCUAUUAAGUAAAAAAGAUGAUGCAUGUUACAGGGACACCUUCCAAAUUCCAAAUUCUGAGCAGAUCAGUGAGAUGAGCAAAGAGAACCCAGUAACAGUGAGGAAGAGGUACAUUUAUGAAACUUCCAGAAAGCAACCAUUCUUAUAUGGACCCAUUAUUCUGACCAUGUCUAUGUGUUAUGAAAGAGCUAUUCAGUCUUGUUGCCAAGAAGAAAAUAAGACAGAAUGCUUCCUGAUAAAGCUAGACCCCAUCGGAAAAUACAUUGGAGACAUCUCUUUGAGGCAUCACCAUUGAUGUAAAAUUGGGAUUAAAUUCAACCACAAAGUAGUAAAAGCAGUAUCUUAUAUGGCUGUGUUUCUUCUUAUGACUGAAGAAAUGGAGAGCAUUGAGAAUACACUCUCCCCAGCCUUUCUGCAAGUGCACUUCUAUCCCUUUGGUUACUCAACGAACUACAACUAAUUUUUUAGAAAGGAGCAAAUUCAUAAUAUUGUUGAGAAGAGGCAGUUCAUGAACUACACCUGCUCUAAACAGGCUAUCCUACCCAGCAGUACUGCCCCGUGCUGUGCACUGCCAAUGACGGUCCAAGGGGAAUGCAUUAUCAACUCAGAAAGUGACCACAAGCCUGCUCUUUCAUCCCUGCCCCUCAGCCAGUUUACAGAAGACUGAUUUGUAUGCAAACGAUUCCCUGGCAAGCAAGAUGAUUUCCUCUGAGAGUAGUACAGAUUUUUGCUCCUGGUCCUUUAUACUAAGAAAACUCCACAACUAUCUGCUCAAGAGUUGGUUUCAUUCAUGAAGAACAUGGCAGCUUCUGCCACCAGAUGUUGCCCUCUGGGUGAUGAACAACAGUUUGUUUGCAUGGAGGAUGUGGGAAGCACAACUUUGACUUCAUUUUUGCCUGUUCUAAUCUCUGACCUCCAGCAAUCAAUCUCAUGUCAGUGGACACAUCUAUGAAGUCUCAAUGGAGCCUAAUAAUUCUGCCCUUGGAAGAAAUUCUUUCAACUCAGAUCAUGCCAAUUGGCUUGGAUUAGCUACAGGGUUAAGGCUAUCACUUCCCUAUCAUUUGGGAUGUCAGGUUCAACAGCCCUUUGCGUGGAUCACACCUCUGGGUCUAUUUCUUGGAUUUUCAAGUCAACAAAAGUGAUUUUGCCAGUAACUUCAAAGAUAAUGUGACUUUAAAUUAACUCACCCUAAUCAAAUGUAUAAGGGGAAAAAUGCCCAGUCUUCCUCCUGCAUUUAUCCUUUCCUCUCAGGCUACUAUCACAUUCACAACACUCUGACACCAGAUGUGUGGGUUUUUUCCCACAAUUCUCUGUGACACCAGCUGGGUGUCCUCCAAUUUAAACCAGUACUGACACUGUCUACCUGGAGACAGCCAGGGGUCAUACGUAGGAGGUCAAGGGCUCAGUUCCGUAAGAUUACUGCCUACCCUCUUCAGGUGACAAUUGCAAGUCUAGGCUGUAGCCUGUGCUUCAGACUGAUCGGCUAUACAGCAGAGGUUUCCCCAACUCCCUCCUAGGGUUUAAUUAAUUUGCUAGAGUGACUCGCAGACCUCAGACUUAAGCUUACCAGUUGGUUAAAGGAUAUGGUAAAGGAUGCAGAUGAACAACCAGUUGAAAACAUACACAGGGCAAACUCAACUUGAGGAUGAUUGGAAGAAGGAGGACAAGUCUCAGAACCAGGCUGCACCUGACACCCUUCUUUAUUUUUUCCCCAACGGUAAAAUCCAGGCUGAGCUGGCAGGCACUAGAAUUUGAGAAUACUUAAAUAUAACUGCAUUUUCUACAGGUAAGAAAAUAACAACCACGGACCUAACGGCUCUUGUUUUAAUUCUCUUCUGGGAAAGGCUAAACUAAUUCUUGGAGCUUUAUGCAGAAGACAUGAGGCACAGCCUGUCAAUGCUGGUGUGGGUCACUGUUGUGGUGACUCUUACACCUUCUGGAAGCUAUGCUUUGAUGAUCUGCAAGUCAACAAAACUUACGUUUCUCCACCUUUGUCCUGAAACCAAGUUAUCAGCUUUCAAGAGGAAAGCUUGUGCAAAGCUCAGGGAUUCCAAACUGAAUAGCAAAAGGAAGACUCUUUGUUGAAUUUGGUUUUUAUUGCUAACAAAGGAGCGGAUAUAGAGAACCACAGAGUGAGCAGCGAUAUAUGUACUGCAUAAUGGAUGGAGGAGCUGACCAUUAUGCUGGAGGUCAAGUAGCACUGAGAAUAGCAUGCAAUUUUGCAAUCGUGGCUAUCGCGGGUGCUACCACAACUUGAUCGGUUAUUGAGUUUGAAAUCUGUUAAUCAGAAAAUACUGACAGAGAAAUACAUUAAUAUAUUUUUUCCUAAAAUGUGAACUUCAGACAUUAGUUUUAUAAGGGGUCUGGUACAAAUAGGGUUCUAUGAUUAAAUAAGUUUGGGAAUGCUGUAUUUCCUUGCUCUUCUUAUAAUGUAUACCAACUAUUACUAAGGAACUCGAAGUCCUGCAAUAAUCUCUUUAGCCUGUUUUAGCUUAGCACCAUCUGGGCCAUAGAAACUAUUAAGAUUCUUCAGGACAAGAAUGCUGGGAAAGUGCUUUGGAACAUUUGAUUACAGUGAUGUUUAUCACUUUAUAGUAUAUAAGUACUUUUACAACUACUACUGUUAUUAGGAAUGACUAUUUUAUAUAUUUGGAAGAAUGGUUUGGAGAUGAUUACUAGUAGGUGGCAGCUGGGUUAUAUUGUAAUAAUGCCUGUGAAUUCAACACCUUGAUCCUAAUCUCCGCCUCCCCAUCCCCUAGACCCUGUGAUGCGGUUUCUUGCACUAGAUAAGGCUUUGAAAUAACAUCUCAGAAUAUAGAAAAAUAGGAUAUUACUAGAAACUCAAAAUACUGUAAAUAAAUAUUUAAAUGCCAUAUAUAAUCUUUCUAAAACACAUUGUGCAGUUCCUGCUGAAUAUUUCCAGUGCUGGGAAGACCAUUUGCUUAAAGCAGCCUAUUUAUCUUUACAUAUGCUUAACUAGCUCACUGUUUUUACGAAAUUGAAAUUUGUGUCACUGUCACUUCCAACUCAAUUUCUACUUCUGGAACUACAGAGAGAAAUACUUUACAGACAUUCUGUCAGCUGAGUGACGCUAGAUCCCUAUUAUUUGACUGCAAACUGAGGGUGAGGUAGGGCUGUUAUACUCUUGACCUGAAGGUGGGCCUCUUGGGGAAGGUGAGAGGAAUGGUGUGUGAUGCUUUCUGAAUUAUAUAUGACCCUGGAAAGGCACGUCUGUGUGUGUGUAUAUAUAUUAUGUAUAUGAUAUAAACAUGUAUAAUGCACACAGAAACAUUUAUAAAUUAGAAAAUUUUAUCCAUACAAGUUAUUUACAAAGUGCUGUUCUGACUUGAUGGCUGUUACUGAUACUGAAGCCUACUGAUCAGAAAUAUUGACAGCAUAUUAGAAUGCCUUUAUAUUUGAUCAGUUCUCCAAUAUGUGUUCUAUGUAAAAAGGGUUUCCUCAUAAAGUCAGCAACAGGAUUCAAUCCAGUGCUCUUUUCUGUUCUUGCUUUCAUAGCAUAUAUUAGAACAUUUCAUCAUUCUACUAUGUUGUCCACCAUCUUGCCCUCCUGCUAUUGCAUCCCAUUGCCAAAUCUCUUUCCCUUCACCUUUUCUCAUGUGAUAUGUUAGUAUUGUUUCAAAACAAAUUAACCAAAAUGUAUUAACCUAACAUGGCAUCAGUUGUUCAAGCAUCUGUGGGUUGAUUGGGUGAGUCUGGUGACCUGAACCAGCCUUAACCAUUCUCAGUGGGAUUGCACAAGAGUCUACGGUCAGCUGCUAAAUUAGCUGAGAGCUGGCAGCCUCGGCAACCAUAGCUUGUUUCUGCUGCAGGUGGCCCUCUCCAGUAAGCUAGCCCAGGCUUCUAUACAUGGUAGCUGGGAAAAGAAGGGGAAGUGUGGAGACCUCGUGAAGCUCAGGUGUGGGCUAUGCACUGCCAACUCUUCUAUGAGGCAGGUAAAGGUGCAUGGAAAAGACUUGACUUCUUGAUGAGAAGAAAUGAAAACUCAUGUUGUGAAGGACAUGGACAUAGGGAAAGGUGGACAAUUGGGUUCAUGUUUGUAAUCAAUCUGCCACGUGUGAAUCAUUAAUGUAGUUGGUGAUGAAUGUCAGGAUGAAUGGUGACAAUGAUGAAAGUCAGGAUAUGAUGAGAAGUGAGGCAAUUAACUAGGUCUGAUUUGAGGCCAUCACAAAUGAGGGACAUGACCAAGCUUCUUACACAUGAUAGGAAUAAAUAGGAUCAGGGUCUUAGAGUUUGAUGACAUACUUGGGAGGAACUAUGACUUUUAAAAGAGGAUGAAGGACAGAUGUGUUGGAAGCAGUAAAAGAACUAGAUGAUGUGAUAAGGUAAGUAGAGUUCAAGCAAAGAUAGCCUCCUCUUGACAGGUCUUAGGGAAGCUGUGUUCUCUGGGGAGCCACAUUUUCAUAUGGAGCAAGAAAGAGAAGUUAAGAAAAGAGGCUGUAGGUAUAGGAAAGUUUUCUGGUGAGAAAGUCUCAAGUUACAAAGAAGACAAAGGCUGAGUUAGGGCGGACUCGGAGAGCAAGAGAUGGGUCAGAUUAGGGAUGUAGAAACAUCAGUAUAAUGACAGAUGAGCUGAGAGACUUAGACUGCUGACUGAGGCAUGACCCGCUUGGCCUUGGAACUAGCACAUGCCGCACACACAACCCUAGGCCAGCUGCUCUUGCCCUUGGCUACCGACAGCUCACAGAUGGUGGACAUUUUCCCCAACUCUCCUAUGACAUCCAUAUAACUGGAUUAAAUGAACAUUUAUUAUCAGGUCUUAGAAAAGAGGCUGCUGCAGACAAAGAAAUGUCCUUCUUAGUGGCAUUAAUCACCCCACCCUACUCCUGAGCCUUGAGCCAAGAUAUUUCCAUAAUCCAGGCAUUCUCCCUUGGAAUGGGUUCUGCUGCUAAUGGAUGUGAUAUUAGAGGCCCACAAAAGGUAACUGUUCUAGGAAAAGCCAAAGGGUAAAAUCCUGGUUUCUCUGAGUCAGUAGGAUGCAUUGAACACCCUCCAACCUCUGACAAUGCAACAGUGUCCUGAUAGUGCCCACUGUGCUUCCCGCCCUCCUCACAUGCCCCCGAUCCUGAAAGGCAGGCCCAGGUCUUCCUGGUCCCUUCUCCACCAAGAGCAUUAGUGUGGUAGCUUAUUUCUGAUUAAUUUACUUACUCUGAGACUCACUUUUGCAGGGUCUGCAUAUUAUUAGUCCAACAAUAUCAUCUUGGCAAGUGAGGCAAAGUGUGUUUGUUGCCUUGGCAAUGAACACAUUCUCGUGGUCAGCAAGAACAAGGUUGUCACUCGUUCUUAUUUAUCAUAAUAUUUGCAAUUCACUAGCCAGCUGACCCUUGAACUCCUUUCUUCAUUUCCCAAGGUGACCUGAAUACAAACUAGGUUUCAAAACUUUCCAAUAAGCGCCCAAGGCACAUUGUAACAUUUAGUUAAUUGUUCUUUCUUUAACCCAGGCUUGACGUGGAAACGGGAGAAAGAAAUCCGUUUUACUGCUGCAAUGCAGGCUUUGCUUUCUCUUGAGGAAGUUCUCGGGGUAUAAAUAGGCACCACUCCAUGUAUGUGUAUUUCAUUAAAUUUAAAUUUAAUGAAAUUUAAAUUCCUACCACAAAAUUUAUGAGCUAGGUAAUGUUAUUCUGUUUGAAUUAUGAGGAAACUGAGGCUGUGAAGGGAAGAAGACCUGGCAUGAGAUCAUGCAACAAGUAACUAGGCUGCUGAGCUGCAACUUGCACCCAGGCAGUCCGGGUCAAAGAGCACAUGCUUAACUGUCAACACCUAGCAGAUAGUGCAUCCUAACCAAAGUGUUAUAACACCGGUUAUGUGUAAAACAUGGAGCUGUUCAUAUAAAGGCUAGGUAAAAAAAGUGGGGAAUAUUAGGAAGCAUCUCUGUCCCAGGGAAUUCAGUGUGUUCUCUGCAUAGUAACAUGGAGACAGUUAUUGUGGGGAUUUCUGGAAUAUUCUGUGUGGAUCCAUAUUGGAAAUCAAAGGCCAGGCUGGAGAACUAUCUUCCAACUUCCCGGUACAGUGUCCAGGACUCUCUCCAUGGGGUGCACCCCUAUAUAGUUCUGUCUGGCUACUGCAGCACCUGUUCUCUCUCACACACACACACAAGUGAAGGGGCUCCCGGAGGGGAAAGAAAUAUUCUUUCGUAUAUAUGUACCCCAGUUAUUUUAUCCACUGGUCUGUUGGUGGGCACUUGGGUUGCUUCCAUAGCUUGGCUGUUGUAAAUAAUGCUGCAAUGAACACAGGGGUACAUAUAUUUUUUUCAAAUUAGUGUUUUGGAUUUCUUUGGAAAUAUAUCCAGAAGUGUAAACACUGGGUCCUAAAGCAGUUCCGUUUUUAAUUUUUUGAGGAAAGUCCAUACUGUCUGUUCCCAUUCUGACACAUGGGAAGUGAUGUCACACUACGGUUUUAAUUUGCAUAUUUCUGAUGAUUAGUGAUACCAAGCAUCUUUUCAUAUGUCUAUUAGUUAUCUGUAUGUUGUCUUUGAAGUAAUGUUAAAAUCCACUUUUUCAUUGGAUUGGAUGGCAAUCCACUUUUUCAUUGUUUGUUAUUUUGGAUUAUCAUCCUUAUUGGAUGUAUCAGUGUCUUUUUCUAAUCAGUAGGUUGUCUUCAUUUUGUUGAUGGUUUCCUUUGCUGUAUAAAAACUUUUUAGUUUGUUGUAGUAUAUAUUUUUUAUUUUUAAAUUUUCACUUGCUAGAAGAGAUGUCAGAAAAAAUAUUGUUAAGAGAAGUGUCAGAGAUUGUAUUGCCUACAUUUUCCUCUAGGAGUUUUAUGGUUUCCAGUCUUACAUUUAGAUCUUUAAUCCAUUUUGAGUUUAAUUCUUGUAUAUGAAGUAAGAAGGUAGUUUAUUUCUGGCUCUCCAUUCUUCUGUUUAUCUAUGUAUUUGUUUUUAUGCCAGUACCAUGCUGUUUUGAUUACUAUAGCCUUGUAGUAUGGUUUGAUAGCUGGUAGUAUAAUGCCUUCUAAUUUGUUCUUCUUUCUCAAGAUAGCUGUGGCUACUUGAGGUCUUUUGUAAUUCCAUAUAAAUUUUUUGGAAUAUUUGUUCUAAUUUGAUGAAGAUCGCCAUUGCUAUUUUGAUGCGUUGAAUCUAUAGAUUGCUUAUGGUAUCAUAAACAUUUUAAAGAUGUUAAUUCUUCCUAUCCAUGAGCAUGGUAUAUGCUUCCACUUAUUUGUAUCUUCUUCAAUUUCUUUCUUCAGUGUUUUAUAAUUUUCUGAGUACAGGUCUUUUGCCAACUUGGUUAGAUUUAUUUCUAAGUAUUUUAUUUUAUUUUGAUGCAAUUGUAGAUGGGAUUUUUUUUUUUUUUAGUUUUUCUUUCUGAUAGGCAGCCUAGUAGUUAGGUUCGGUUCUCUUAAUGAUCUCUGGUGUUACUACUGCAAUUGUUUUGAGGUGCCAUGAAUGUUUAGGUAAGCAGUAAAAUAUCAGUUAAUAUACAUUUCCCCUACCCAUCACUGGGAAAAUGUAUGUUAUUUUUUUGUGUGUGGUUAAAUUGUUUUCCUUGUUUUCUUUGUGGUUAAAUCUCUUUUGGUUUAGGGCAGUAAAUUAAAAAGAAAAAAAGGAAAGAUAACAUCGGAAGAUUUGAAAUGAUAUUUUAUUAAAUAGACAAACUAGGUUACAAUUUUAAAUAUUGAAAAUGAUUGAAACAUUUGUUUAUAUAGUUGUGGGGGAAAUUUAGGCUAUAAGAGAAAAUUCGUGAUUGUGAAGCCAUUAUUGAAGUUUCAAAUUAGUUUAUUGGUUAUUAUAUUAAUAACAUCUGAGGGACCCCCAACUUCCACAUGUGUUAUGCUUGUAAUAUUUAUUUGAAAGCUAGCUAUUUAGAGUAAAUGUUGUUCAUAACAAAUAUUAUAGGGAAAAUUAUUUAAUAUAUAGCCUAUUUACCAUCCAAAUGCAAUGAAAAUAGAAAACAAAAACAUUUACCCUAGUAAUAAUAAUAUAAAAUUAAUUAAGGUUAUGAUAAUAAUUAUAUUGAACAGAUGAGCUUGAAGAAAAUUGUGUUAAAUAAAACAUGGGGAUGGAGAUGGACAUUGUGAAAACUGCGCCUUUUGAGGGCCUUUGAACUUAGAAGUGAGAGCGAUGAAAAGGCAUGUGCAGCUUUAAAUAAGUCAGGUUCACAAGCUGGCCUUCUGGGGCUCAGCGGCGCUUUUAUUUUUGCCACUCAUUUCUGAGUCAGGCUCCUCAGCAACCGUGCGAAGCAGAAACCAUAUGCAACAGAGAUGCAGUUGCAACCAAUGAUUGUGGACUUCAUUCACCUGGCAAAGACGUGCUGCCAAGCAGAACAACGCGAAACGUGUUUCUGAGAAGAGGUAUUCCUCUUUCCUCGUCAAUUCUCUUAGCUCCCUUGGGGUUAUUCAAGUUUUAAAAAACUCAUUUCUUCAUUCCCAUCCUGAGUGGAUUAGAAUCACAGUCUAAAUCUGUGAUCUUUAACCUUUUUUUAAUCUCAUGGCACACAUAAACUAGUUACUAAAAUUCUUUGGCAUACCAAUAAUAUAUUUUUUGAUGAUGUGACAAAAAUAGGUAUAAUUUUGAUUCUCUUACAAAAAUAAAACAAUGGUAUUGUAAUGACCUACUCUCUUUGCUCCAAAGUGACUUUUUAAAAAAUUAGGUGCCUGUACCUGUAUAUAAGGAUUUCUUGUACCAAGAAUUAACCAAUAAGACACAAUCUAACUGUGGGACAUGACCAAUAAGAUGCAACUCUAUUAUAUAACCUAUAUACUUACUUAUGGUUCAUUAAAGGGCAUUUACAUUGUUGUCAUAUUUUUUAUUUGGCAAUCUCAGGGAAAAAAGCUCAGUGCCCCUGAUAAAAUAGUCAGGUGUUACACAUUUUAUAAUUUCUUGCAUUGCACAGGUUGAAAAUCCCUGGUCUAGAUGGAUUGAUGUAUUGACUAUAUUUGGGUUUAGGACAUGUUAAUAUUUAUGUGUAUUUGAGGAAACUGGGAGUUUUAAACAUGGUUAGAGAUGAAUACAGGAGUCGUGCCACUGGAUGCACUGUUUAGGACAGGAGGUGAGAAGAAAAAGGAUGAAUCGAAGACUUUGGCAAUUGUAGGGAAAUGUUGUCCUUGGAAAUACAGAGAAAUUUUAAAGAAAUAAGUUUAAAGAUCUGUCUGAGCAAAUUGUAGUUUUAUUCUAAAAAUUUUCCAGGGCACAAUGAGAAAAACUCACAAAAUGGGGUUUGGGGCCGCAUUAGGGAGCCUAAGUGUUUCAUUUUCCCAAGCAGCCAGAAGACGACCAGAUUAGGGUUGGAGAACAGAGAGAGAAAUGAAGAAUUGCCAGAAGAGAGUAUCUAUUUGCACAUACACACCGAACUGACUACCAGAAGACUGUUUUCUGUAAUUAAUCUAAUUGCCUAUAAUUAACAAGUACAUGAUUCUUCAUAAGAUGGUAAGUUUGUGUGACCUAAAUUUUAAAGAAUGUCACGGUGGCCCAGAAUAUUCAUGUAAAUGAAUGGAGAAGACUUGGGAGGACUGCUCUCCUGGGGGCAUGACUUGAGAAGCAGAAACUCGGAAAGGGUAGCUAACAGAAUCUAAGUAGAUAAAUGCAAGAGUAUAGUUUAAAAAAAAAUAAAGCAGUACGUACAGUUAAAACAGGCCAGGGCUGGUUAUGUCUGUGGCUAAGUUUGUUGCGGCCCAAGAAAGUGUUUUUACAGGUAACAAUUUUCAUGAAUGCCUUAAUUAACUUUAGUGGCUCUUUCCUACCUAUUCAGCUAGAUUGUACCUGCACUGCUAUAUUAAAAGUCAUAUAUUUAUGGUCCAGUAAAGAGUAGGCAAAUUACAGCCAUUGGGCUAAAUUGGUUCCACUUCCUGUUUAUGUAAAUAAAGUUUUAUUAGGACGCAGCACGCCCAUUUAUUUACAUAACGUCUACCACUGCUUUCUGUCUAGAGCAGCAGAAUUGAGCUGCUGUUGAAUUAAGUUGUGAGAGAGUCUAUAUGAACUGCAAAGCACCCAAUAUUUACGAUCUGGCUGUUUACAGAAAAAUUUGCUGACUCUCAGACUAGCUGAUACACAAAAUGAAAGUAAUCACCUAUACUAGAAUUCAUUUUUUUUAUUUUAAAGCUUUUUUACUUUUUUGGAAAGCAUUCAGAAAACAUGUUUCCCUGAGUACCAACCCCAUAGCUACACAAAUCAACACUUUUGCUGAAGAGCAUGUGCCUGUGAAUUCCCAAGGGAGUUUUCUUUUUUUUAUCUUUAAAAAAAUUUUAUUUAGUUACUUUUCAAGUACAGUUUUCUGUCUAUUUCUCCCAUCCCAGCCCACCCCACCCCAUGCUCCCCACCUCCCUCCCAUUUCCACCCCCUUAGUUCUUGUCCCUGUGUCCUUCAUACUUGUUCCUCCAAAUCCCUCCCCUUUUUUUGCCCUUAAAUUCCCUCCCCUCUCCCCUCUGGUCACUGUUCCCUUGUUCUCUAUUUCAGUGUCUUUGUUUUUAUUCUGCUUGCUUGUUUAUUUUGUUGUUUAGCUUCCUGUUAAAGGUGAGAUCAUAUGGUAUUUGUCUUUCAACACCUGGCCUAUUUUCACUCAGCAGAGUGCUUUCCAGUUCCAUCCAUGUUGUUGCAAAGGGUAGUAGCUCCUUCUUUCUCUCUGCUGCAUAGAAUUCCACUGUGUAUAUGUACCACAGUUUUUUGAUCCAUUCAUUUACUGAAGGGCACCUAGGUUGCUUCCAACUCUUGGCUAUUGUAAAUUGUGCUGCUAUGAACAUUGUGGUGCAUAGGUUCUUUGAUAUUGAUGUUUUAGGAUUCUUAGGAUAUAAUCCUAGCAGUGGAAUUGCUGGGUCAAAAGGCAGAUCAAUUUUUAUUUUUCUGAGAAAAUUUCAUACUGUUUUCCAUAAUGGUUGUACCAAUCUGCAAUCCCACCGACAGUGAACUAGGGUCCCCUUUUUCCCACAACCUCUCCAACAUUUGUUGUUUGUUGCUUUGUUUAUGAUAGCCAUCCUGACUGGUAUAAAGUGGUGUCUCAUUGUGAUUUUAAUUUGCAUCUCUCUGAUAGCUAGCGAUAUUGAGCAUCUCUUCAUGUGUCUCUGGAUCUUCUGUAUGUCCUUCUUGGAGAAGUGUCCAAGGGAGUUUUCUCAAAGCAUUCUUGUCCUUGGGUAUAAACACUACUUGCUGGAACUAAUACAUCAAUAGCACGAUAUGAUUUCUGUGUGCUUUUUUCCACACUUUUUGCCUAAUAGCAGCCUUCAACUUAGUGGUUGAAGAGCCCAGAUAUUUUUUCUUUUCCUCCCCUUUCUUUUUUAUUUUCUUAUACAGUUUCUCCCCAAAGUAAAGGAGAUAAUAGAAGUUAUCUGCAAAAUGUAUCAUGUUAAUUAAAGUUUUCUAGAAUUACUUCUUGAAAUAAAAAUGCUUGUUAUAUGUAAUUAUGCAUUCUCUCUAAAGCCUGGUCAAAUUUACUUUUGGAUGAUUUGUCUAAGGCAUGACUCUGAAAUUGCAGUCUACAUCAGAAUCCCUUGCAGGGCUUAUUAAAACCGAAUGAAUGUUUUCACCCACAGGCCGUCUGAGUCAGAAGAUCUGGGGUGGGGUCUGAUAAGAUACUUUCUAACAAGUUCCCAGGCACUGCCGAUGCUGCAGGUUUGGGGACCCCUUUAAGAGCCGGUAUUCUAAGGUGAGAGCAGAUAAUCAUCAACUGUUCUCCCACUCCUGCCAAUAUUUUCAUAUGUCUAUCUGUCAGUGAGAAGUUGGAACCGAGGACAGUAACAUAAAUAAUAAAGCAAUUGGAAGAAUAACAGGUUUAUUUUUAAAAUGAGAUGUUUUUGGAUAUUAAAUAUAAAGAUUAGGCUGCAAUAUUAAAAAAUAACUGUAAAGAAAUAGGCUUAGAAAAUAUUGGAAUAGAUGAUCAAGAUAUUUUGGAAUUUUGUCAUCAAGAACUUGUGUAAGUCCUUGUUCUUCUGUUUGUGGAAGGGCUCUAGGUCUGACCUGUUAUAAAGGGACAGUAGUGAGUGGCCUCGGGAGUCUCUUUGGAGCCACAGUUCCAGAAGCAAAGAGGCUCAGCCGUCUGUCAGUCUGUAGAUGUUCCAAGUCAGGGUAAAAGGCUAACUGCUCCAGGGACCUUCAGGCAUUUUCUUUGUUUGCUUUUCUGAGAUUAUAAUGGUCAGGUAUGUAAACCUGUUCUGCCGGUUAGAUGAGAGUGUGAACAGGUUUGAAGAUAGCCUUUCUAGCUAUGGCUAUUGGGAAGAUGAAACAUUUUUAGAUAAGAUGGAAGCCAUAUUUUGAGAGGUAAGCCAGAGUGAAGGACAGUUCUAAAGAGGAGAAAAGUGAACCCAAGUCAGUGUUGGAUGGAAUGUUGGCAAGAAUAAGGAAGGAAUAAAAUAAGAAACUUAGCUAUACAGAGUGAAUAUGGAUCGUGCAAAGAAAAGGCAGUUCACAUUUUAGGAAAUAAUAAUGUGAACUGCAGACAUCAGCAGGUUCAAAGAGAAAAUUCCAUCUCCCAUUUCAGUGAGGAGUGGUAAUUAUAACCUGAGAUAUUUAUCUAGCAAUGAAGAGAAUGUAAUAUAGAAGAAAGUUACCAUGAAUUAGCAGAAAUUUGGGCACAUUAAAGUGAUGGUUUGAAAAUAACACAUGAAUUUUUUUAAUCCUCGCCAAGAGAUAUGUUUAUUGAUUUUAGAGAGAAAAGAAGUUGGGGGAGACAGAAAGGGGGAGACAGAGAGAGGGAGAGAGAAACAAGAAACAUUGAUUGAUUGUCUCCUGCACACGCCACGACUGGGGAUUGAACCCUCAACCUAGGUAUGUGCCCUGCAGGAAUCAAACUCACAACCUUUGGGUGUAUGGGACGAUGCUCCAACCAACUGAGCCACCCAGCCAAGGCAUGAAAAUAACACAUGAAAUGAAACAACAAAAAUUGAGAAAAAAAAGGUCUGCUUUUAGAUGUGACUUAACACAAGUUCAUGUGAAAAGACCUGUUGUUUUAAGUCCUCUAUACUUACAACCUGAUGAGUCUACUAUCAAAACAGCUGCAACCUUUGGGGUGCAUUUCUGAGAAAAAAAGCAAGUUCCAAGUUAAGCAAUGUGAUGGCCCCAUCCUGUAUGGAUUGAGUGUUUCCGGGUUACUCUGUUCAGUUUCCUAUGACACAUUACUCAGGUGUUGAAAAGUGUGUACAUAAUACAGGAACAUGAUAAAAGUUCUAACAGAAGAUCAAGGCAUGUUUCCCAUUCCCAAAAGGCAAUGACUUUAUUUGCUUUUUUUUUGACAUUUAAAUUUGUCUUCUAAUUUGCUUUCUUUUUUCUUUUUUAAUGGAAUUUAUUGGGGUAACAUUUGUUCACAAAACCAUACAAGUUUCAAUAGAACAUCAUCUGCACAUUAUAUCAUGCACCCAUCACCCCAUGCAAAGCCUCUCUUCUCAUUUCCCCCACCCCUUGCCCACUUUCACUUAUCCCCCACCAAUUUUAAAUUUUCACUUUUCAUUUUCCUAGUUAUUACAAUCAUCACUUUAAAGGUUUCUGAAAAUAUUACCAUAUUAAAGAAUAUAGUGUACAGUGUAGUUAAGCCAUCUUCAACAACUGUUCCUACAGACUCUUUCUCAAGCAUUUUUUAAAAGUAUUUUUAGUUCUUAUAUUGGUUGUAUUCUAUUUAUUGGUCUCUCAACUUCAGUCAACAUUUGAUAAUUCUCUAAAACAUAAUUAGCAUGUAAAUUUCCUUUGAUUUAUUUGCCAGCUUUCCUUUAUAAAGCUAUAACAUUACUUUUACAUUGUCUGGAUUUAUUCAUCCUGUGUUGUAAACAUAAGAACUAUAUAUUUUGUUAAUAGGUUAGUGCUAAAAACUGGAAACCAUUAAAUAGUAUAUUCAGUAAUUCUUUUACUUGAAAUAUUAUUCACAGAAGUACCAUGAAUGAAUUGACCCAUAGGUUAAUGGCUUAUCAUGCAUCCCCUACAAGGAAAUCUCUUUACUUACCUACCGUCAAGUGCAGAAAAUCAUGCCUUGUUUAUUUAAUUUGAAUAUUUGGACUAUGAUUUUCUAGCAUAUUCUUUCCGAGUGUCUAAUUGCCUCCUUUUUCUAUGUUGAAAAAUAAAGUGCCCACUUUUAUUACAUCAUUAAAAUAUUUCAGGUUCUUAAUCAUAUAGUCUUCGAAAUAGAAAAUUCUAGGAGAAGGUUGUGGCAGGGACUCAAGAUGGUAACUAAGGGCUGCUCUCCUGAGUGAGUGGACUGGGACUCAGGAGGAUGUAACUAAAGUCCGGACUCCGGAGUGAGAAGGGCAGAGACUCAGAAGAGAGAAAAAAGGAUGAGAGAGAGAGAAACAUCAGUGUGGGGUUGCCUCUCGUGAGCCCCCUACAGGGAACCUGGCCUGCAACCCACGCAUGCGCCCUCACUGGGAAUCGACCCAGAGAGACCCCUUGCUUCACAGGCUGGCACUCAAUUUCCUUGAGCCACACCAGCCAGGGAAAAAACAGCUUGAACAUUUCUCCAUGGAAUAGGAAACUAUCUGGAUGAUUGAGAAGGCCACAGCAUUGAGCAGCUGGUGAUUGGCAGCUUCAUCACAACAACAGGCCCAAUUGUGCAUCACAUCUCAGGAAGAGUGUUCUGGCAAAACAUCAAAUCACCCAGGUGUCUCAGCCCCCCUACAUCCCCUAUCUGGCACCCCAUGACUCCUGGAUUUUCCCAGAACUAAAAUCACCUUUGAAAGGGAAGAGAUUUCAGACUGUUGAUGAGAUUCAGGAAAACACAAUGGGGCAGCUGAUGGCGACUGGGAGAACUGUGUGAGAUCCCAAGGUGCCUACUUUGAAGGGGACUCAGGUGUCAUUGUCCUAUGUACAAUGUUUCUUAUAUCUUGUAUUUUCUUCAAUAAAUAUUUCUAUUUUCCAUAAAAAAAAGAAAAUUCUAUUAUUUUAAAGCUAUAUUUCAGAAAGUUCUCUGAUUUAGUCUUUCAGUUGAAUCUAGUUAUUCCUCACACUGACUCGUGGCUGUCCACGUGGGUUUUUUUUUUUCAGUGUAAUUCUGGGUAAAUUUGAUUAUUUGUAAAAUCCUAGUCGUGUCUUUUCUUAGAAUCUUAUAAGUUUUGGUGGGCUGUAUUCGUGUGUGUGGAUGUGUAUGCAUAUACAUAUGUAUAUGUUUUUUCAGAUGUUCACAUGGGAGAAAAGCUUUCUGGUCCUUGUGUUUUUGCUUAGUUAAGUAACUAAUUAAUUAAUUAAUUUUUGAUUGGUGACUUCUAAAAAAAAUUUACUUAUUGAUUUUUGGAGAGAGAGGAAGGGGGAAGAGAGAGAGAAACAUUUAUUUGUUGUUUCAUUUAUUUAUGCCUUCAUUGGUUAAUUUUUGUGUACGUCUUGACUAGGAAUUGAACCCACAACUUUGGUGUGUAUGGCUGAUGCUCUAACCAGUUGAGUUACCCAGCUAGGAUGGUUCUUGUAUUUUUAAAUAUUAUUUUGUUCAUAUUUCUGCACUGUAUUUUUGCUGGUAGGUCGGUUGGGAUUCUUUAGUUGUAAAUAAUAGGAUCAAAUUCUAGCUAACCCAAGUAAAAAUUAGUUUAUUGAAAGGAUAAUAGUGGCUUUAGGAAUCUUUAGGAAGCUUGAAAAAUGAGCUUGACAGCAGACAAGAACAAAAGCAUCUCAGAAUCAAUGGCUUUCUGGGUUUUUAAUGCUGAUACAUCUCCUAUUUCCGUACUUUGGUAUAUCAGUUAAUCAUGCCAAUGCCUUUCUUUUUCUUUUCCAUAAGUUCAUCAACAUCUCUUACAUUGAUGUGCUUUUUCUAUCAUCAAUAAGGCUGGCUUUAUUCUUUUACUUUUCUGUAUAUUUUUACUGCUACUGAAUGGAAUUUUGGAUGAGAUGAAAAACAACACAUUUAAAAAGAACAUUGACAAAUUAUGUCAGAAGAGUAUCUAGAAUAGAAAAAAGGAUGAAAAAGCAUGUCCCAAGGGAUACAGGGAAAAAGGCUGGUAAUGCCUAUCUGGAAGCCUUAGGGUGGGUGACUGUUAGCAGCUGCCCAGCAUGUCCAGGGUUAUGGGGAAUCAAAGAGUGGCUGACUUGGUCUCAGUGUAGGAAAGAUGCUUCCUCUUUUCUCUGUUAUCUACACUCCCUCAGAUGAGUCUGUGUUUUGUGUUUCAAAAUCUUGCUUGGGCCUUACCUCAAAAUGUGGAGUUAUCCUCACUUCUUUUCUCAUUCAGGCCAUUCUUCAAUAUCAUCAUAAUUUUCUCCAAUGUCUUCCUUCUACUUUAUCUUUGCCCCAAACUCUCUUCCCCCCAGCAUUGUUUAUCAUAACAAAUUAGAAAUUUACCAAGAAAGUAGGGAAUAAAUAAGGUCAGGAAGGAUUGAUGGGAGAAAAAUGUGUUGCCCCAUUAUUGUUAGGUUCAGAGAAAAUGACUAAGAUUAAAUAUGAGUGUCUUGAGAUUGCUUAUGGGAAAAUUUCCCAUGGAGAUUUAUUUUAAAAGUCAUAGUUUACCAAAGAAAUGAAGAUGCAUAAAAUCAGCAGAAUUUUUAAAAAUGAACCUAAAUGGAGUCCAUUCUCUGUAGAUGACUUAGGUGUGGUACUGUUUGAGGGUAGCUGAUGUUGGUUGUCCAUUUUUGCCCCAAAAGCAUCUCGUAUUUUUGUGAGGAGGCAGAAAAUUUUUAUGUAUUCCAAGUCUGGGGUUCGAAAAGUGGGAGAGGCAUUGCAGUUAAUUAACUCAUUAAGCCAAGGGAAUCGGCCUGUGAGAAAUUCUAAGGCAUUGAGAAGCAGGCACCUCAGAGUCCAACUCAGGCUUAUAAUAAGGAAGUCUUAAAGAUUUUCUACUUGGAGAUCAGAGCUGUUUAAAACUUUUUGUUUGUUUAUAUGUUUUUCCCUCUCUCACAGAUGUGAUUACUUGCCUUUUUCUUUAUGAGUGUAAACUGAUGGAAAAGUGCCAGUAUCUCUUAGGAGGCUAAAUGAUUCCAGAAAAUGUUGCUGAGGCUACACUUUGUUUUUUCAUGUAUAGUGAAACCCAUGUCUAAUAUUCAAAAUAACACAAGAAUCAACAAAGUUAUUUUUCAGCAACUCUCAAUGUUAUACAAGAACAGUAGCCACUCAAUGCUAAAUCUCCCCUUUCACACUAAGAAGAGAAAUCUACUUAUGGUAACCCCUCUACAAUCUACUUUAUUCUUCCUUCUCCCCAUAAGCUUUCUGUUUAGAAAGCUCUGUUUAGAGCGGCAGAAGUAUGAAAUUAAGGGGCCUUUGAAAAGCCUCAGAUUGGUGUAAUGGGCUUCCACAUCCACUGGAAACUGGCUGCUGGAUGUUUAGAGUAGAAAGGACCCCAAGCAACUGGAGUUUCUGUCUACACCACUUCAAAAAUGACAAUUGAAGAACUGAAUAAAAUGUGCUUUGUAAAAAAGUUAACUUCAUAAUAAUUUUGCCUUUCACGUUUACCCUAUAUACAUGAUUCUGACAUUAGACACAAAGGGUCCUAAUAUAUUUAAACUAAAUUGAGCUUUCAGUGGUAAUUUAAAAGCCUUUUCCCUGGAAAGGGAGGCAUAAAAUGACAUAAAGAAGUUAUCACAGACUUUUUACUUUUCCAGAUAUUUCUGUGUACUAAAAAACAAACAGUAAUAUUUUAGUGUUUACUAAAUAAGUGGAUUAUUUUUAUUAGAGAAAAAUGUAAUUCUCAUUAUAGUGUCCUUUACUUGAUUUUAAAUAUUUUUGCUCACUCUAGUGAUUUCAACAUGUUUAUAUACACUAGCAACUUAAAUCUAAUGAACAUUUAUAAGUAACUAUUAUGUUCAAUAUGUUGGCUAACUAAUACAGAGAAUAACAUGAAUAUGAUAAGACCAGAUCACUAAUGAAUUCAUAAUGAUAUAAACACAUAAGGAAUUAUAAUAAAAGGCAAGUUUCUAAUUUCUGGUGUCACAAGAGCAGCACUGACUGAUAACAUGAUGCACAGGAGUUUUUGAUCACACAUUGUCACUGAGGGCAAAAAAUGGGCAGGCAUAGUUUCAAAAGAGAGAGAUGUGGUAGAGUUGGGGUAUUUCAAGCAGUAAUAAGUUAGUUUUUUUAAUAUAUGUUUUUUAAUAUAUGUUACAGUCCCAAUUUUCCUCUUUACCCCCUCUGCCCAGUACCCCCAUUCCCUCCAACAAUCCCCCCGCUUAGUUCAUGUCCAUGGGUCAUGCAUGUAAGUUCUUUGGCUUCUCCAUUCCCUAUACUGUUCUUAACAAUCCCCAGUUUAUUUCGUACCUGCCAAUUUGUGCUUCUUAAUCCUGCACCAUUUCUUCCAUUCUCCCUCUUCCCCCUCGCAGCUGAUAAUCCUCCAAAUGAUCUCCAUACCUAUGAUUCUGUCCUAUCCUGGCUUGUUUGCUUAAUUUGUUUUUUAAAUUCAAUUCUUAAUAGUUACAAAUUUGUUGCCAUUUUAAUGUUCAUAGUUGUUAUCUUAUUUUUCUUAUAUAGUUUUUUACAUUCAUGUAAAUAUGGCUUGGUGUUGAUGAACUCCUUUAGCUUUACCUUGUCUGGGAAGCACUUCAUCUUCUCUUUCAUUCCAAAUGAUAGCUUUUCUGGAUAGAGUAAUCUGGCGUAAUCCUUGCUUUUCAUCACUUUGAAAACUUGCCAUUCCCUUCUAGCCUGCAAGGUUUCUUUUGAGAAAUCAGCUGACAGUCUUAUGGGGACUCCUUUGUAGGUGAUUCUCUGCUUUUCUCUUGCUGCUUUUAAUAUUCUUUCUUUAUAUCUAAGGUUUGGCAUUUUAAUUAUGAUGUGUCUUGGUGUGUUCAUCUUUUGGUCCAAAUGUUUGGGACUCUCUGUGCUUCCUGGACUUGUAUAUAUAUUUUCUUCACCAAAUUAAGGUAGUUUUCUUCCAUUAUUUUUUAAAAUAAGUUUUUGAUUUCUUGCUCUUCCUCUUCUCUUUCUCGCAUCCCUAUGAUUCAGGUGUUGGUACAUUUGGAGAUGUCCCAGAGGUUCCUUAGCGUAGCCUCAUUUUUUUUAAAUUCUUUUUUCUUCUUGCUGUUUUGAUUGAAUGCUUUUUUUCUUCCUUAUGUUCCAAAUUGUUGAUUUGAUUGUUGGCUUCAUCCCCUCCACUGUUGUUCCUUGUAGAUUUUUCUUUAUUUCACUUAACAUAACUUUCAUUUUUGCCUGAGUUUUUUAUAUGCUGUUGUGUACUUGGUGAGUUUUUUGAACAUCCUAAUAACUAGUGUUUUGAACUCUGCAUUUGAUAGGUAGGUUUUCUCUGUUUCAUUUAAUUCUUUUUCUUUUGUUCUCUUCUUUUAUCUGUGCCACAUUUCUUUGUCUCCUCAAUUUGGCAGCCUCUCUGUGUUUGUUUCUUUGUAUUAGAUAGAGAUGCUUUGACUCCCUGUUUUAGUAGCAUGGCCUAUUGUAGAAAAGGCCCCUGCACAUUGUAUGGGGUGGAGCCUUAGAUAAUCACCAGGGUGAGGCAGCCUGUUUCACAGCUUCGUGACUCUAUGUGGGGGAGGGUUGAGAGAGGGGACAAUGCUGCUGCCUAGGCUGCCUGUGCUCUGGAGAUUUGCCUGGGAGGAAGCUAUCUCCUGGCACUUGCCCUAUUGCCAGUUUACUUCACUUUCUCCUGCAUGCCACUUGUGCCCUUCCAACUGUUGCCCUGGUGCUGAAUCCGAGAGAGAGUGAGUCUGUGUAAGCCCCGAAGACCUUUUCAGGCUCCUUAAAAGGAGUCUCUUGAGACUCCUGCAGUUUCUUCUGCUGCCUUACCCCCUGCCCCCCCCCCCCCAGUUUUUACAUCCAGAAAUUAUGGGGACUUAUAUUCCUGGUGGUGGAACCCGGGACUGGACAGUCUGGUUUGGGGCUAGGAUCACUCACUCUCGAGGUAUCCCUCCUGAUUUUUAUCCACCACACAUGAAUGUAGGACUUCCCAUUCUACUGCCUCUCCACGCUACCCUGUGGUUUGCCCCUCCUAUCCAUGUAGAUGAACAUGGCUACUGUAAAUCCCUGGUUGCUGG
Molecule: RNA transcript, 20555 nt
Organism: Artibeus jamaicensis (Jamaican fruit-eating bat)
Lineage: Eukaryota; Metazoa; Chordata; Mammalia; Chiroptera; Phyllostomidae
Gene name: alpha-fetoprotein-like
Exons: 10
Source: RefSeq, a predicted model, not a curated record